UAAUUCUGUUAUUCUUCUAUACCGUGGUUAGCUUACUUUUCAUUCGAGCUUCCAACUUUUAAUUAGAAUAACACGUUUCAAGGUAGCUCUACGUCGAUUUAGAGCGAGCACACGCCUACCAGAAGCGUCGUUCGAAUAGGUUACACGCGCUCCAUCGUUGGGCCGAGCAUUUACUCGCCACUUUCAUGGAACCUCCACAAUUUACGGUCUAUCUCACGAGAAAACGUAUAGAGAUACAACGUCGCAUUGUGACCGCAUAACGCGGCCCCCCUGGCACGGGUUCCUCUUUCAGCUCGUGGCGCACGCGCUCGGCAACCUCGUGGCUGCACUCGACGCACUUAGUCUACGUCGUUAGCUGCGCCAUUAGCUUGCAUCCAAGCCUUCCCGUUCGUAGUAGUGUGGGCUGUACGUGAGCGUGGACUAUUGCACACAGCCGAACGUGCUUUGCGAGCCACCCGAGCGGUAGCGUGUCACGUGACACGGUCUCGCGGGUAUAUAAAGGCGGCGGACGGCUAGUAGAAUCAGCCAUUCGCGCACUGGCUCCGAAGUAAGCGCCACGACGCGCCUUCGACUCCCACCGGAGACAACGAUACAGGCUCGGUGGUAACUGACCUCGUGGCAGCGGGCAGGAAACCAUUCAGGAAAUGGUUCGAAAAAAAAAAAAAGAGGGAAAUCCCUCAGGCGCCACUCGGCCGAGUGAGAAAAGUGAGAACGGAGCUCUCGGGGCACGUGAACAUGGCUAGCGUACUCGAGAUAAGGCUCGCGUGCGAAUCGAUUACGGUCGGUCAUCGGUUUCGAUGACUGGCAAAGAGAAAUGACGUAGCCCAACCCACCGACUGCAUCGUCAUAGAUAAACGGGCGGCACGCACGCGCAGAACGUUGCCCUCGCAGGAACGAAGAGUUUCGAGGGGGCCACGCGUGCCCGAAGACGCGCAUGCCGCUAGGAUCAUUCAAGAAGCGAUUCGGGUUAACCCGCACGCGACGAAUGUUCCGGGGGAAUCUGGACAAGGCGCUUGCAGGCUGCUGGAAUAGCAAGGAAUGGUGGUAUUAUAUAGAGAUGGAGAGAUUGCGAGUGCUCGAACUCGAUGAUUUCAGAAGUUACUCGACCGAUUCGGAUGGGACUUUCAUUCCUGGGUUCCUUGGAAAUCUCAGUGUUGUAGGACUAGUUUCGUCACGGUAUCUCCAUUUGGAGACUCAACCGUGAACGGAACUGUCGACGAGCCGUAGAAAGGAUACACCCUGUCUAAUUGGAACUGUAUUUACUUGCAAAUAAUUGAUUUCUCUCUAUCCGACACUUUGUCCGUUAAUUUAUUAGAGACUGCAAGGACAUUAGAACGGUUAAAAACGGAUUCAAAGCAUUUAACUUAACAAGCAUUCGUAUAAUACAACUCUCAGGCCCAGAUUGUUCUCCAUUCUCUAAAACUAUAUUAGAUCAGGCCUGGUUGUCACGCUCUCUCCUAAACACGUGAGUCUCUCUUCUAGCUCAACCGCACACGCUGACUAAUCUGUUACAGAUAUGUCGAAAUUACUCGCUCCGCUCAACAAGUAAAUUCCGCCUUUACGCUGGCACGAAUUGUCAAGAAAAAACCUCCUCGAACCAGGAGAAAAACAUGUCUCGCGGCCCAAGGAGACCCACAGGGGUGGGACGAGGUUUACGUGUCCCGAGUGACAAAGCAGCGAGGCCGGCCAUCUAUAGUAAUUUAGUAUAAAUGUAUGCUGAUUGCAGAUCACUUAUCCAGGACAACGCUAGUUGGGUUGGGUUGGCAGUUUUUCGUGGGAGGAAUUUGACCGAGACCGAAGAACACAAAAUAAUGUUUCUACUAUUCCUCGGCUGACUAACAAAGCCACUCAUUUGUUUGGGGGUUUCAACUGCUCCAGACGAAGAGGUUUAACGACUCAAACUUUUAGUGACUAGGUAUACAUGUUGAGACACGUGAGACUUGAAAGUACCAUGUUCUGAGACCAAUGAACACAAAAUAAUUUUUCUAAUAUUUUCUUGACGACUAACCAAGCCACUCAUUUGUUUGGGGGUUUCAACUGCUCCAGACGAAGAGGUUUAACGACUCAAAGUGAGCACUUGAACUUUUAUAAAUUUUGUUGGGUUGUGCAUACACUAAGACAUUUGAUGGGAGGAGAUUAACUCUAGCUUUUAGUGACUAGGUAUACAUGUUGAGACACAUGAGACACGUGAGACUUGAAAGUACCAUGUUCUGAGACCAAUGAACGCAAAAUAAUUUUCUUGACGACUAACAAAGCCACUCAUUUGUUUGGGGGUUUCAACUGCUCCAGAUGAAAAGAUUCAUCCACUAAAGGUGAGCAAAGGCAACCAAGAACCUGGUCACCCAUCAGACCACCUAACCAAUCGCCUACAGGAUGGGCAGUGGGUUUAGACUGGUUUCGGGGUUCUUCGUAAUUAGAACGAGACCCGGCAGCCUGUCGAGGAUUAUAUAGAACGACCUGUUCGGAUACUACGGAGGCGGAAAGAUCCACCACGAUCGAGAUCUGACUUUAUGCGCAUACAUUUGUCGCGUCUGGUGGCACACGGGCGAGUCCCUCCGGAAUUCGUGACGAGAGGCGACACACGAACGCGACGCGUGUGGUAGCCACAGCCGUGCAUCAUCGGUUCCAAGGCUCCCCGGAGCACUGCCACUCGAGGAUUUCAACUUCUUUUUGCCGUCGUUCAAGGCGAACCCGCGUGGAAAAAACCUCCCGCGUGCAACGACGUAGACGCGAGCCACGGGACGGAAAAUGUACUGACCCACUGACUCAUGGGGGAUUUCCGGCGUUAGCGUGCAAUUGCUACGUGCUUGGUAGCCGCAACGCUCGUACGUCAUCGUUCCCGCGACGUCCUUAGAUGUUGCCUUCCAUUUGGUGAUCCGUGAAUGGAACUCUAAACAAUUCGCAGCAGGCACGACGUUUAGUCAUCGUGAUCAGGUCUGGGUUAAGGCGCCGAGCUCCGGGGGCAAUAGGAAGCUGCAGAAACAUGGAGAGCUGGGGGAGGGAAAUUGUAUGCAAGGUUACUUCGUUUACGAAUGCUGGAUCGAAGUACUCCGAAUUGUUUGAUGCGUUGACCGUCACAGGUGACAGGACUUAUGGAGCUAAAACAGUGGUCAGGGUGAGAUGUUGAAGACGAUAUGUUUCGAUGGGGUUUAUCGAACCAUAAACGAUCUAGCAUAUCGACUGCCAUGUCAUGGACAUGGUUGCGUAGAACCUAUAUUUUGACUUCGUAGAAAAUGGUCAGAAAUGAAAAAGAAGGUAUAUCACUCGCUUGCUCGAAGAAUCGAUGGUACACAGUUCAGAGUCUAGCUGUAUUACGUUACGUAGACGUGAAGACGUGUCGGAGGGGAGGGCUAUACGAGACAGUGUUAUUUAACGUUUCAAGAAUUUCUGGGAAGAAGGAAGUUGGGUACGAAGAUUCGGGCGAAGGUACGCUUAUAAUUAGCCGAUCGACUGAGUCAGCUGCACUGCUUUGAAGUUCGGUUAGCGAGCAUUUACAUUAGCUCGAGUAGUUCUACUUGAAAUAUAUAAAGCCCUCGUGUAACACGAUUUCGUGCAACACAGACUUACUAUCCGCAUUCCUUGACAAAAACUUUCAUGAUUUUUAUCAACAUAUAAAUUUCCUUAUCGGUCCCUGAAAGCCGCUCAGAGACACGUGCACUUUCGCGUCUUCUUCAACACGUUAAUUCCCAGACUAAUACUCUUGAGAAUAUCUACUGUGGUUAAAUUUUCUUUACAGACUACUGGAAACUACAUAACCCUUUAUCGUGGUAUUUAUUUUCGUAUCGUUUUAAAAAUUCAAGAAUUUCAUUAAAAUUCAUUUUCGUUGCUUUGAAAAGCACUGUACCCAUGCAUGGGUAACGCGGCGGUCAACGCGUAAACGCGGUCUUGCAUCGAGGAUACCAUAAACGCGAGGACCAGUGGGAGCCCGAGUUGCCCUCGAAGAGAUUUCCCGAAGGCGAACGGUGCGAAAGUUAAUCGCGACCUAGACAUCACCGACCACUCGAGACGUCUAAAUUUACACAACGGACGCAUUGUAUCCGCGUUUCUGAGGAGCCCGAAUAGCACAGGCGAACGGUGGAACGCUCAAACGAAGAAACGAUCGGGACGAUUUCGCGACCGCCCCGGCGCGAGUCUGCUAAUAAAAGACGUUGCGCAAUCGUGGACGUUGGUGUUGCGCCGCGGAUAAUAAUAAGAACGUUACAGCCAGCGGGCACACUGGCUGCUAAGAUGACAGGGGGGGUGGGAAGGCAGCAGGGGGUCUCGAUAUCGUCGAAGAAUCGCUGUGUGCACACGCGAAUGCACAAACGUAAUAAUUUGUCGCGGUCGAGUCGUCGCGAGUCGCUAUUGGCCGCGCACCGGUGCAUUGGUGCAUUGGUGGAACGAAAUCGAGGAGAAACUCUCUCAGGCUGAACCGCCGCGCUAUUUACGGGGUUCCUUAGCGAACGAGUUAGUGGGUCGACACCCGGAGGACUCUGGAAAACGUACACUGUCGCGACGAUUAACACUUUCGACCCUAAUAGGACUUACAGUCAGUCGCAUAAAUAUUCCUCUAUGUCUACUGAAGAAAUUUGUCUAAAUUAAAUGAUAGGUUCGAUGUGCCCAAACAAGCAUUCGUUAUAAACAUUUAUUUGGAAAUAUUAAACUUACCAUUUAAUUUAAACAAAUUUCUUCAAUAGACAUAGAGGGUACGAAUUCUUAUGAGACUGACUGCAUAUGUCUGAGGGAAUAUCUCUGGGUGCCAAUUAAAAUUGAGACCUAUAAGGAAAUUCUCUAAUGACUCCAAUUAUAUUGAGCUGUCUGGAAAGUCCAUGGCGAUUUUUAGUAGGCGGUACAGGUCUGAAUAUAUCGGAAUGGCUGAAAACAAAUAAAAUGUGUACGUUCUUUAACAGUUGGACAGGUCGCGGAACAAAAUGGUACAUAUAUAAUUCAAUAAAUGUACAUCAAAAUUCAAAUAUGCCUUUGAAUUUUUCUUAAAAAUAGGCACGAACUUUCUGGACAAUCUAAUAAAUGUAAGAACACAGAGGCAUAGAAUCAACUACUGCACCUAAUAACAAUAUAAAACAAAAAAAUCCUUAUCUAACUCGUCUCAGAGUAAAUUUAACGACCGCUAACGAAACUAUACUUCUCCCAAAAAAUUUGUUAGAUAUGUGGGUGGCAUCUCCUGUCCUCGCCACUAGAGGGACAUCGCGCGUUUGCGCGAUUCUCACAAGUGAAAUGCUCUGUCUGCCUAACGUUCGUAUAUAAGCCAAUCCGACCGACCUCCAAAUAUCCUGGCGUCUAAGGCACGGGCCUCCUAGUUAGUCUUAUUGACGAGUCCAUUGACAAGACCAGGUCGAAACGCUCCCUUUUCUCCCUUAAGAGACACCGCCACCCCAGAUAAUUUUGUCUCGAUCUGCAGGCAAUUCUACGACAAACUCACUUGGCAAUGCUUCUCGGUGUUAAUGUCGACCCUGAACAAUUCGCGAAACGAGCCGUGGAUGCAUCGCUGGGCGCCGGUGUUCACGCGUUCAUGCGCGCAUAGGUCGUUUGAAAAGAGGGAUAGAGGAGGGGGGAGACAAGUUAAAAGAGAGAGAGGGAAAACCGCGAGAUAGAAGCGCAUGGACGGAGGUACGGUGCCAAGGUAAAGAAAGUGAAUUUCCGUUUUCUCGGCGUUCCCUAGAAGGCCCCGGCGAGCCGGAAGUAAUUACGAUCGGAUUUCUCGCGGCGAAGACUCCGCUUUUGCCACACGAACGAGAACCCCGUAUUGUAGCGGGAAAACCGUAUAUACAGGUUACAAUCAAUCACGGCUAACGACUGCCGGGAAGUCGUUCUUCGAUAUGCCUCCACGCGCCGGUAUCUCCGUCUCAUCUGUCCCUCUACCCCCAGCGACCUUUCCUUUCUACUGGGAAAAUCGCACCGCGUGUCACGAGUGCGGGAAAGCCGUACCGCGAACGUUCGAGAGUGUCGCAGAACCUGCGGAUGUUCUCGAGUUAAUCUCCAUUAUAAUGGAUAUCAUUCAAAAAUGCUCGUUUUUGUAAAUUUCUGAUGAUUUCUUCAACUCUGAGGUGGAGUAAACCGUUCAACAAUUCCGUCUGCUCGCUGUUUACGAGUAAAGUUAAAGUAAAAUCUCCUUAAAUGCACACAUUUCUCUACGAUAAAUGCACAGGUCCCCACCACUGGCGGGUAUAGCCCUUGAGGUGUCCAGGAGUUCGAUCGCCGAGUAGUCUAACAUGAUCCAGAAUCAGAUACCUCACUGGGACAAUGCUAAUGGCGACGAUAAAACUUUUUUUUAUUAUCCUGGUGUUUUUGCUCCGUUUUCAUUAUUCGCUGUCUUUCAUUCAUAUUCGAAGCUCCUCGACCCGAGCUUAUGAAUUUAACAAGACUUGGUCUGUAUAGACUUGGUAAAUACUACUGUAUUUACAAGUUCACAGAUCCACAUUUUGAACCCAUACCUGCAGAUGCAUUUUCUAGCCGUCGAAAUUGUUUGAUUUUGAUCACAGCCGCGGCGAACAUGUCAAACACAGAUCGAACGGUUGUUUAUGCUAAUGUUGUAACGCUGUUGCCGUGCGAGCCGUCGAUUACGUAGUUUGCGUAAACGUUCGCGGUAAAUGUUCCGAGAUAAACGCGGACAACGGGGCGUAUUUGAAGCCUCGCGUUUUAUCCGCGCUUACACGUAUCGCAAUCGUUUCGAACGUAAUUUCGCGUCGUUUCUUGUGCCGGUAAAACUUUCGACUUGCAUGCUUCGGGAGCGAAGUGUAAUAUCGUCCAUUCCGGACGGUGCGGCACGUGAAAGUGUACAGUCUGUCCCCUGUUGUGUACCCGGAGCCGUUUCGAGGUGGCAGGGGAGAAAAACACGUGGAUCUUAUUAAAUAAUUUUAACACCGCUUUACGUCGAGCGACGAAAAACGAUCUUUUGCAACCGAAUGGAACACUUGCACGUAAAACUUGCUCCCCGUCCUUUUCCCAGACCGUUCUCCGUCUCGUUCCAUCCUCCUGCGACUCCCACCUUCUUCGUCAACAUAAUGUUCAGCUUGGCAAACAGCGACAGGCACGAGCAUACGAAGGACGCACCCACAUAGAUAACAAACUCGUUUGCACCGAUACGUACUUACACGCCUGCAACUGAGUCAAAAGACGUUGAACGUACGUUAACACACACACUCUCUCUCUCUCUUUCUUUCUUUUUCUCUCUCUCUCUUUCUUUCUUUUUCUCUCUCUCUCUCUCUCUCUCUCUCUCCUCUUCUGUCUCUUUCCCCGCUGAUUGGAUAGACGGAGACGAUAAUAACGACCGCUCGACAGCUCGAGUCGAUCGUUUUCAUCGAAUGCUUUGGAUCAGAUGCAUCACUCGACUGUUGGGUUUAUUCUCUCGUACUUUUGCACAUAGUGGGUCACGAAAGUAUUCGUACAUGAUGUAAUUUUAUUAAUGUUUCAAUGGCACUACAGAAAAUGUGGUGUUGAAUAUUAAUGGGAAAUAAAAUGGACAAAAAUAUUACAACGAAAUAUAAUGGAUACAAAUAUUAGGUUGUCCGAAGAGUUUCUUUCGUGAGUUGCAUUCAAUUAUUUUCUGUGGCAGUGUUUAUAUAAAUAGACAAUCUAAUUUCUUAGGCAUCGAUGCUGUAACAGUAAUGAAGCGAAAUGAAUCGUAUACAAUUCAGUAAUGUAACACAAGACAUAAAAUAUUGUGUAUAUAUUAAUUAUUAAUACAACGAAAGAAACUUUCGUGACAACCUAAUAUAUUUCAUUCUCGAAGAAAGUUAUUCAUAAUAAAUAUAUCUAAUUGGCAAUUAUUCAAAGAAUAAUAUUUUAUAUCAAAAUAUAGAUUGUACAUGUAGCAGUACAAAAUAAAAGUGCAUUAAAGGUUGAGCGUAGGUUACCAAGUUUUGAUAACAGACUUAA
Long non-coding RNA from Hylaeus volcanicus, 7875 nucleotides. RefSeq lists it as uncharacterized. The record is from RefSeq and is a predicted model, not a curated record. NCBI's taxonomy places the organism in Eukaryota, Metazoa, Arthropoda, Insecta, Hymenoptera, Colletidae. The transcript has 4 exons.